Molecule: ribosomal RNA, 466 nt
Filed under: uncultured Thauera sp.
Lineage: Bacteria; Pseudomonadati; Pseudomonadota; Betaproteobacteria; Rhodocyclales; Zoogloeaceae
Description: bacterial SSU rRNA
Rfam family: Bacterial small subunit ribosomal RNA
Source: RNAcentral
ACGGGACCCGCACAAGCGGUGGAUGAUGUGGAUUAAUUCGAUGCAACGCGAAAACCUUACCUACCCUUGACAUGUCUGGAACCUUGCUGAGAGGCGAGGGUGCCUUCGGGAGCCAGAACACAGGUGCUGCAUGGCUGUCGUCAGCUCGUGUCGUGAGAUGUUGGGUUAAGUCCCGCAACGAGCGCAACCCUUGUCAUUAGUUGCCAUCAUUUAGUUGGGCACUCUAAUGAGACUGCCGGUGACAAACCGGAGGAAGGUGGGGAUGACGUCAAGUCCUCAUGGCCCUUAUGGGUAGGGCUUCACACGUCAUACAAUGGUCGGUACAGAGGGUUGCCAAGCCGCGAGGUGGAGCCAAUCCCUUAAAGCCGAUCGUAGUCCGGAUCGUAGUCUGCAACUCGACUACGUGAAGUCGGAAUCGCCAGUAAUCGCAGAUCAGCAUGCUGCGGUGAAUACGUUCCCGGGUCUU